UACUCCAACCCAUUGUGACCUUACCUAUGUUCUGUUGCCUCGGCGGCGUGGUCAGCGCCCCUCUGAAAAGAGGACGAUGCCCUCCCGCCGGCAGCACCAAACUCUUUGAAUUUUACAGCGGAUUACAGUUCUGAUUUGAAAACAAAAAAACAAGUUAAAACUUUCAACAACGGAUCUCUUGGUUCUGGCAUCGAUGAAGAACGCAGCGAAAUGCGAUAAGUAAUGUGAAUUGCAGAAUUCAGUGAAUCAUCGAAUCUUUGAACGCACAUUGCGCCCGGCAGUAAUCUGCCGGGCAUGCCUGUCCGAGCGUCAUUUCAACCCUCGAACCUCCGUUUCCUCAGGGAAGCUCAGGGUCGGUGUUGGGGCGCUACGGCGAGUCUUCGCGACCCUCCGUAGGCCCUGAAAUACAGUGGCGGUCCCGCCGCGGUUGCCUUCUGCGUAGUAAGUCUCUUUUGCAAGCUCGCAUUGGGUCCCGGCGGAGGCCUGCCGUCAAACCACCUAUAACUCCAGAUGGUUUGACCUCGGAUCAGGUAGGGUUACCCGCUGAACUUAAGCAUAUCAAUAAGCGAGGUUA
RNAcentral lists this ribosomal RNA (574 nucleotides) under Scedosporium boydii. RNAcentral's name for it is "eukaryotic LSU rRNA". The stretch from base 159 to 312 matches the Rfam family "5.8S ribosomal RNA". The record is from RNAcentral. Lineage: Eukaryota; Fungi; Ascomycota; Sordariomycetes; Microascales; Microascaceae.